This is an RNA transcript of Equus quagga, 5807 nucleotides long. It is a transcript of the gene named multivesicular body subunit 12B, with no coding region annotated. The transcript is spliced from 13 exons. NCBI's taxonomy places the organism in Eukaryota, Metazoa, Chordata, Mammalia, Perissodactyla, Equidae. The record is from RefSeq and is a predicted model, not a curated record.
AGGGACAGGCCCGGCGGCCUCGGGGCCCGGCCCUGGCGUGGCCUUGCGGCGGGCGGGAGCUCCGGGACCGAGUGCCAGCAGCGCCCCCAGGGCCGGGGCGGACGAGGGCCCCGAGAGCCGCCUCCGUCGGAGCGAGAGGUGCGGCCGCCGCGGCCACCUGCACACACGGGGAACAGUUAUUUGACUCCCCCGGCCUGGGGUCCAGCUCGCUGUGGUCACAUGGGCGCAGACGAGCGUGCACCUGAACCUCGGGCAUCAUCUGGGGUGCGGCCUCCGCUUUGACCUGGGGACAGACAGCAGAGACACCUGUCUGCAAGGACCAAUCCACCAUGCCCGAAGUCAAGGACCUUUCAGAAUCCUUGCCAGAGACGUCGAUGGAUCCCAUCACGGGAGUGGGGGUGGUGGCUUCUCGGAACCGAGCCCCGACGGGCUACGAUGUAGUCGCACAGACAGCAGAUGGUGUGGACGCUGACCUCUGGAAAGACGGCCUAUUUAAAUCGAAGGUUACCAGAUACCUGUGCUUUACACGAUCAUUUUCCAAAGAAAAUAGUCAUUUAGGGAACGUGUUAGUGGAUAUGAAGCUCAUUGACACCAAGGACACUCUGCCUGUAGGCUUCAUCCCCAUUCAGGAGACGGUGGACACACAGGAAGUGGCUUUUAGAAAGAAGAGGCUGUGCAUUAAAUUUAUUCCACGGGAUUCAACCGAAGCUGCAAUUUGUGACAUUCGGAUCAUGGGCCGGACCAAGCAGGCCCCACCUCAGUACACGUUUAUCGGGGAACUGAACAGCAUGGGGAUCUGGUAUCGAAUGGGCAGAGUACCAAGAAAUCAUGACUCAUCUCAACCCACGACGCCUUCCCAGUCAUCAGCAGCGUCCACCCCGGCCCCCAACCUUCCCAGGCACAUCUCUCUAACGCUGCCUGCUACCUUCCGAGGCAGGAACAGCACGCGCGCCGACUAUGAGUACCAGCACUCCAACCUGUAUGCCAUCUCAGCAAUGGAUGGUGUGCCUUUUAUGAUUUCAGAGAAGUUUUCUUGUGUUCCAGAAAGUAUGCAGCCCUUCGAUCUCUUGGGAAUCACCAUCAAAUCUCUGGCAGAAAUUGAAAAAGAGUUAAACCAGAACCAGCCCACCGCACCAGGGCAAGACCAGGCGUCACUGGCUUUGGUGAAAUCCCUGGUUGGAUACGUGAGGACUCGUUUCUCCACUCUCAAGGUGCUUUCCCGAAGCGUCUUAGGCGAUUCUCACCGCACCUCUCCCCAGUGAGGGAACUUAGCAGUGCAUCCUUGAAGGCCCGCCUAUGGCCACUUCCUAGUGGCCAUGUCCCACCUCCUGGCCACAAAGACUGGCGCAUGACUCCCCACCAAGGCACUUCCACCUCGUCAGCCACUUCCCCGGACUCGGAAAUGUCCUGCUGUCCCUCCGUCUCCCACCCACUCUGCCAUCCAGAAACUGGAAGUGCCCUUUUCUGGGCCCUCCGCCGUCAGCAGCCAGGUCUGAGGCCGGGGCUGUGGACAUCUGGGAGCUGGUGCCUCCAUCUCCCUCUGUGCUCCCUGUGGAAGACCAGCCCCAACAAAUCAACGAGGGCUGACUGCCCCAGGCACUCCCCGACACCCCCAGGAGGCUGGCACAGAGCCACACACAGCAGGGCACAGCAGAACCCCCUGAAGAAGUGACAGCCCACGACUGUCUCCGCCAGCACUUGACGGUGCCCCGGCUGGGGGCCUGGCACUGGGCUGGCUGCCUCCUCUGAGAGCUGCCUCACCUCUGCUCCUGCCUCAGCAAUGGCACUGAGACCACUUCCACGUCUGGGCUGUUGUAAAUAAUGCUGCAGUGAACAUGGGGGAGCAGAUGUCUUUUCGAGCGUUUUCCUUUUUCUUCAGUACGAGUACAGCUUCCGCACGGAGCAGAGUGCCGCCGCCAGGCUCCCGCCCAGCCCCACCCGGUGUCAGCAGAUCCCCCAGUCCUGAGGGGCCGGCGCCCUGCAGGGAGGAGAGCCUUGCCCAGACUACUGAGUGCCCCCUCGCCCGGUCCGCCCGCGGGGCUCACCAGACUGGGCAGCUGAGCUUGCAUCCUCGGCCAUUGGCUUGCCUGACAUGACAUCCCCACCUCCCUGGGGACGUUGUUCCUAAUCUCCACUAAUCUGUGUGUGCUGUAGUGACCAGCGGCUCCUAACGUGUCUGUGUGAUGACCAGUCGUCCUACAAACAACCCUACCCACCGCAGGAGUCACCCCUGAGGGCCCUGGACAGUUGCUCUGGCCGCCCAGUGAUGCCACCAGCUCCCUUCAUUCUUGUCACUCACCACUAAGCCAUUGCUUUCCUCCUGGAAGACCCUGAGGGUGAUGGCAGAUGUGCACAGGCCCCUCCACGGCUCCCUGGUCACCCCAGCCCCAGGGCUGCCAUGGAGCAAGUCCCUCACGCCGACAGCAUCAAGUGCCCUGAGCAUUUCACGGCGACCCUGGGGGAACACGGGAGGAAAAAGCCGGUGGGUCCUCGAGUGGACCCGAGCCUGACUCCCUGCCGCACUGUGGACAGCCCUGGAACUUGUCCCUCGAUCCACACACUGGACGUCCUGAGGUCGGGGAGCAGCACACCCCGGCUGCCAGCACAGAGGGGACUUGCCUUCUGGGGAGACAGCUGAGGGACUGGUGCUUGCCUCGACGCGAGGACGCUGUGCUCAUACCCUCUCCGCCCCAGAGGGCUCGUCUCUGGAACGCCCACGUGCCUCGGCCUGGUGCCCCGACCUGGUGACCACAGCGAGGCCCUCCCGGGGCCGCAGGUGAAGAGGUGCUGUGAGCCGGUGCCCAGGGAUGUGGACACAUGGCCACCCAGCUGCUCAGAGCUAGGCGGUGUCCUGUUGGCCUCUCCUAACAGGGACAGUUGUUUUGAAAAGCCCAUCUGACCCAAGUCACCAAACGGGGGCCAGAACUGAUGUUUCUGCCACAGGUGGCCAGUGGAUACACUGAGGUCCUCACCCUGCCAGCCGCCAAGUCCAGCUCCCCACACAUGUGCCAUGAGAACGGUGGCAGCAGCCGUCCCUGGAGGCUCCGGCCCUCACCCCAUGGCCACCUUGUCUGGCUGUCUGGGAGAUGCCAACAUUCUGUGGAAUUAGGACAGACCUCAUGUUGGGGGUCGCCAGAUGGCUGGGGCUUUGGGUGUGAGGUUGGACAUGAGGCUGGCAUGUGGGGGGCCAUGGAGAGCAGGGAGGUCCCCCCACCAGGAAGGCAGCACAGGAGAGCCACUGCCCGGCCUGGGACAGAGCCCUCCCCACUGUGGUUCCCAGGAGGGCGCAGGGUUCGCUGGUGGCGGAGGUGCAGCAGGAACUGACCAACACAGGAGACUGGCCGCUGGCAGGGAGGUGGGGCGGGGCACAAAAUACCUCAUGCACCUGCCGUCAGCCCCCCCAGCUCCAGAGCCCUCGGCUCUCCCACCUCAGUCUUCAUCUCGAUACCUCCUGAUUUCUGCGCAUCAGGGAAGUGGUCAUCCCUCCCCACCUCCCCCAAGACCUGAGGACGUCCCUGGCGGGGCUGGCCUCCCCAUGCCUGCCACCUGGCAGGAGAGGGCAGGUGGCUGGUGGACCCGGGGCCGCGGCGUGGAGCCCACAGUCCCUGCGAGCGCUUUCUGGGGUCAGUGCUUUACCAGGAAAGAGCUGAGGAGCUGACCUCAAACGUUCCCGCUAAAAUAAGCUCGCGUUUCUGGGGAAUCGGGGGAGCCCCCGGGGUCCCGAGAACCUGGGUCUGCUGCUGUUUUGGAGGGGUGGCUGGUCCCAAACCAAGUGACUUAUGUGACUCAAAGCUCAACAGAGAGGGGUGACAGCUGGCAGGCUUCGGGGCAGAGCCAUGCUCGCUUCUGUCCAGUUCCCAGUGGUUCAUGCAAUUUUCCUUCCAUCUCUUCUUCACACCCUGGAUGGGAGAUCAUCUCUGACAGCUAACACGGGGGCCCUUCUCCCUUGACCGAGAACCAGGCAUUUCAGCAGCUCUGAGGGGCCCUGGAAAGUCCAGAGAGGACGCUGGAGGGUCCCUUGUCAGGGAGCAAGAAGGCAGAGCCAGGCAGUAAGAGUGGCUGUCGGGGGAGGGGGGACCCAGCUCCCCAUUCACACCCCCGGGGGCCACCCUGCAGUCCCGGGAUGCACGGAACUAGGUGGGGCUGCAGGGCCACCAGCAAGAGGGCAGACCUGCGUGGACCCGGGUGCGCCAGAGGGACCCCAGCAUCACAGAUGUGGUCUCGGCUGGCGCUGACUGUGAAUGGCGGUACACGGCUGCCGGGGACGGUGAAACAGUGGUGCUGUUAGGGAAGAGCUGUUAGCUGCUCCUAACCCCCUCCUGCUUUGGCUUCUGAGAGGCGGGUGAGCGAGUGUGUGGGGGGCCGGGGGCGCGUGUGUGCUCAUGCCCAGCCCUCGUGGGCUCAUGCAGCCACCGGGGCGCCGGGCAGUGGUGAGCUGUCAUGACCUUUCUUUUCUUCCUGGGAGGUGCUUUUCUUCACGACCCCUCUGGCCACCUGGGGAGGGGAGGGUGGGGGCCCCUUGGACACGUGCAGGGCGGCCGCCUCGCCCUUGGCCCCCCAUCACCCCCGUCCCUCCCUCCCGAAAAGACUAAGCAGAGCACAGCGCUGCCUUCCUUUUCCCCAGAACAUUCCGGUCUCUCUCCAGAGGCCCUGGAAAUGGCACAACGGUGAUGAGGAGCCAGUCUGCUCCAGGUUCACUUGCAGAUUUGUAACGAGGCGUCUUUCCCACCCCAAGUCCAAGAGCUCUCAUCCCACACCCUCCUCUGCUCGGAAAGGUGGGAGCCGUGGCAGCAGCAGGGAGAGAUGGCAGGUCAGAGCCCAGCCUCCCGGGGGCGAGGGCCACCUCCUGCAAAUCCCUGAGUACACGCACUUGGUGGUGAGAAGCUGCUGACACUGGCUUUUCCAUCUGCCCUGGGCCGGCAGGGGCAGGAAGGACUAACGGAUGGAGCCCCUGCUCCUUGCCCUGCGCUAGGCUGGCACUUUGAGCACAUUUUCUCCCGUCGUUCCCCCUCAAAACAAAUCCCCAGAGAUGGGUGUUACCUGCUCUUUAUUACAGAUGAAGACGCUGAGACCUGCCCACAGGCACAAAGCUGGUAAGUGGCAGGGACAGGAUAUGGACCCGAGUCUCGUCGGGCCCCAGAGCCCCCUCUGCCAGCUGGCCCAUCAUAAGCACAUGCCCCACACUGACCUUUUUGUUUCCAGUCCAGUAAUGGACUUCCCAGCUGCCACUGGUCCUGCUGGUGCCGGCGUGAUGGUGUCACCACCCCACCGCGCCAUGGGUGCUGAGCACAAGGCAAGAGCCCGCCUACCCUGCUCACUCCAGCCAACAAGGGCUCCCCUGAGGUUCCGGGCUGCUCGCCUUCCCAUUUACAAGGGGUCCCAGCCUGCAGCUCCCCGGAGACCUGGGCAGCCUGAGGACGAGGGCAGAGAAGGGCCCUGACAAAGCAGCCAUGCGCCACAGCUGAGCUCCUGGGACUCGGUUCCCGUCUCCUGGACCCCUGGGGCCUGGAAGAGGAGGCCAGGCACCCUGCCCUCGCCCCAGCCCCACUGUCCUUGCCUGUUCUGAUGGCGGCCCAGAGCACCUGUGGCCAUCACCACCAGGAGACGGGACUGCUGUGCUCCCAGCCAAGGGCGGGUGAGCCGCCGCGCGACCGCCUGGGCCUCAGACAGGCCGCCGUGCCUCGCUUAGGACGAAGUCCUUGCUACGUCUAUUUAUUUGAGGUGACUCUUGUACUUGGCAAAGGAAAGUUUCACUGUGUGAUUGUCUUCUUAAUAUAAUUUGUUAAAUAAACGUUUGUUUUAACCUU